Molecule: small nucleolar RNA, 138 nt
Organism: Tachyglossus aculeatus (Australian echidna)
Lineage: Eukaryota; Metazoa; Chordata; Mammalia; Monotremata; Tachyglossidae
Source: RefSeq, a predicted model, not a curated record
CCCCUCUCAGGAUGGCACCUGGAGAGUACCCAGUGCUCUACCACUCUCGACUACAGGAGGGAGAGUCGAGCAGAGGCCUACCCAUUCCGUUCCGAGCUUGGGCAGUGGCUAGUGAGUGGAAGGCAAUCUGCUAUAAGU